AUAUAUAUAUAUAUAUAUUACAAGAAUGGUUCCAUAGUACACGGAUAACCCACUCGCACUAUCAUUUUCUAUGUUCAGUAGAGUCAAAACUUCAAUUUGGCAUUAAAAUAAGAAGGAUCAAAUCAUAAGGAACAUGUACGAAUUUUCAAGUUGAUUUGACUUCAAAUUCAUAAAAAAAUACCUUGACCUAAAACUUUAAUCUGAAGCGGGACAUACACUCAAUUUUGUCAAUAAAACGGAACUAUAAACAAAUGUCAUACUAGUGACAGGUGUAGUUAUCUACAAAAAAAAUUGAACCCACUAUUGUCUUCGAAAAAUACCCGAACCAAGUCAAGUAGAUAUGUUGUAUUUUACUUGUUCUGUUGGUUGAUACUAUUAGGUCUUGUCAGCUUUUAGGGACUUUCUCCUUUAUUAGUUCGUUAUAUUUGUUAUUUUCUCAUUUUCGUAUUUUUCGUAAUUUUCUUGUUUAUAUUUGAAGUUAAACCAAUAUGCCUUUAUUUAUCAACUAAAUUCAUGCAAAACAAAACUAAAAAUGUAAUUUGAAUAAAUAACAGAAAAU
This 559-nucleotide long non-coding RNA is filed under the name Mytilus galloprovincialis (Mediterranean mussel). The record is from RNAcentral. Lineage: Eukaryota; Metazoa; Mollusca; Bivalvia; Mytilida; Mytilidae.